This 315-nucleotide ribosomal RNA is filed under the name uncultured bacterium. RNAcentral describes it as "bacterial SSU rRNA". It matches the Rfam family "Bacterial small subunit ribosomal RNA", at positions 771 to 1081 of the family's 1533-position model. The record is from RNAcentral.
AGCCAAUAGAUACCCGGGUAGUCCACGCAGUAAACGAUGGACACUAGGUGUGGCGGGAGUUGACCCCUGCCGUGCCGGCGCUAAACGCAGUAAGUGUCCCGCCUGGGGAGUACGGCCGCAAGGCUAAAACUCAAAGGAAUUGACGGGGGCCCGGCACAAGCAGCGGAGCGUGUGGUUUAAAUUCGACGCAACGCGCAACACCUUACCAGGGUUUGACAUCCUCAGAAUCUGGCUGAAAGGCUGGAGUGCCCGCAAGGGAGCUGGGAGACAGGUGCUGCAUGGCUGUCGUCAGCUCGUGUCGUGAGAUGUUGGGUU